Molecule: unclassified non-coding RNA, 382 nt
Filed under: fungal sp.
Lineage: Eukaryota; Fungi
Description: partial internal transcribed spacer region
Rfam family: Eukaryotic small subunit ribosomal RNA (bases 1-46)
Source: RNAcentral
AAGUCGUAACAAGGUAACCGUAGGUGAACCUGCGGUUGGAUCAUUAAUGAAGGCUUUAUGCCAAACCAGCUUUUUUAAGCUGACCCCACCUUGUGUGAACCGUUAAAAUGUUUUUAGGCGGAGAGGGUUUUAAAAGAGAGGUUUGUUUUUUUUUCUCUCCUUAAGUGGUUUGAGAAUGAAUAUACUUGAUUCUUUUUUAACCCAAAGUCUUUAAAUAGAUAGAUCUCCGCCUACUGCUAUUUUCUUGAAAAAGAAGAUGGCAAAACAAAAAACAAACCUUUUAUUGUCUUUCAAAUUAUAAAUCUAAAACCAAUUUUUUUACAUUCUAAAAAUAAAAUUUCGAAUGAAAAAACAACUUUUGACAACGGAUCUCUUGGCUCUC